UGGCUUGGUGGGUAAGAAGGGAAUUGAAUCUGAAUCCGACGUACCCAUUGUGAUCUCUGGAGAGGAAUUUAUGAGUUGGGGGAUGGAAGGAAAUGCAAUUUAAAUCGAAUGCACCUACAGCGUUUUCUCUGGGGUCGGGGAAUGAGUGAGUAGCAGGCAGUGGUGAUCUUAGAGAUAUUUUCUGUUUCUGGAAAAUGAAAAGGGAGAGAGGAAGAGGUUGGUUGAUCUACUGCCGAUCAGUUGCUGAGUAUUUUAUUUAAGAGGGUUUGUUUGUUUGUUUUUUUGGUACACCCUCUUCCUUGUGAUCCUGUGAAGCCAGAAGAGGCAAGGAAGAUAAGCUGAGGACAGAAAUAGAAGAAGAGAUGGGACAUCCACAUGCUUAUUAAGUUCUGCUUUGUGAACGGCGGAAGAAGAUUGUCAAAUUGGCUGAAAGAGCGAGUUCUCAAUAACGUGUCACAUGGAACUAGCAUCAAGUUAGAAACCUGAUAAGAUACAGUUAUCAUCAGAUAUUCCGUGGGCUUAAUACCAAGGGAGAACUUUUCUUUUAAAGCAACUACAAGAAGGGGACAACACAAAAGGGCUGUUGGUGAUUGCUCCUUUGCAAUAGAAGCAAAGAAUCCAUGAAGGAUAGUACUUUGUACUCCAUGAGAGAGGUGAAGCUCUUGUAACUGAAACAUGGUGGUAGCCAAUCCAUAAAUCAAAGGUAUAAAUAGUUGGGGUCCAAUAUGUGUAUGAACAUUGCACUUGCAAGGAGUCAGCAGUCUUCUAGACUGGCCAAAUGGCAAAGCUUCCAGGCCCAACCUUAACCUUCUGCUGCCAGGGAUCGCAGUCCCAGAAAAAGUACAUGUCUUCAAGACAGCUGGCUAAAGUGAACCUUAAGCACACGCUCCUGCAGCCUGUGGUCCCCUGAAAUGCCAGAUUCCCAGUCCAGUCAGAUACGUUGCACAGGACUAGGACUAGCCUUAUUUUUGGCUACUUUGUAACUUGCAUGUUGCUGUUUACCUUUGUAACAAUUUACUAUUUGGUUUGUAGAGGGAUGUUUACUAUUUGGUUUGUAGAGAGACAUCCCUGAAGCGUUUUAAAACUGGGGCUUUAUUAUUCUGAUUGGGUGGAGGAAAGAAAACAUCUCACCCAUAAUUCUUGUUAACUGAAGUUUCAUUAUAGUAUUUAUACCCCUGCCAUCUUUCUCAUACAGUUGGGGACACAUUUUGCAUUCUGCAUGCUUUUCCAAAUUCGGUAUGAAAAUGGAUUUGAUUGUUACUGGCUGCUGGUUUUGCUGUGUCACAUCAGAGCCUGGCCUGUAUGCUCAACUGAUAAGGCAGAGCCAUGAUUUCACAACACCCACAUUUUGAGAGGGCUCUCUAAUUUUGAACACCACCGAUGCUGAAUGUCGCCCUUGAAAUGCCUAUGGCCUGGUUGUCAGAGAUGCUGAUCACACACUGCUCCAUUGGAAGUUGUCACAGAGUCACAGGCCCCGUGCUCUGGAACUGCUCUGUAUGAAACCAGAUAGCUGUCGCCAGGGCAAGAAGCUUUUUCCACUAUGGCCUUCCUGGGUCUGACCUCAGAGCAUUCAGCACCCAUGUUCUCACUGUGCACUUCCCGCAGUGAGUCCACCUGGAUGGGACCCCUAGGGAAGCCAGAGGGGCCAUGCACCCCAACUUCACAGUCUGCAGUGACUCUCAGCCAGUGUUUUAAAACAGAAGGGUUUAUUAGUCGACAGGAACAUAGUGUAGAACAGAGCUUGUUAGAACAUAAAGCAGGACCAUUCAGUAAAGUCCAUCUUGGGGGGAUCCAGAGGCUGAUGCCCUGGACUCCCCCAUCCGAGUCCCAAACAGGAGACCAGAUUCAGCUGCCUGGCCUCAGACCCCCUAUAGCCCCUCCUUGUUUCUUUGUCUCUUUCCCGGGCCAGCAGGUCACCUGGUCUGCAUCAACACCUCCAGCUAAUUCUUGCAGAGAAGGGGGCCCUGCCAUCAGAUGCCAGGCCACAGAGUGUUGGCCAUUCUCUGUCCCAGGCAGCCAGUCAGCAGUCACACCUGUCCUCUAGGGGUCACUGCUGUGAUCACAUACUCUAUCCCACCACCUAAAUACUUGAGUAAUUUAGGGGAAUAGGGGAAAAAUAGGGGAAACUGAGGCGCACACACAGUAUUCAAAGAAAACAUAAGAACAUUGCCACUUCAUCACAGAAGUGAAUUGUAACUGUUGUGUGCUCAGCACCACAGGAAAGAGAACCUACAUAUUUCAACUUGAAAAUAUUGAGCCAUCCAAAGCUAAAAGAAAAUGUAGGUCUAAGACUAUGGGAGUUCUCCAGGAACACUUUCCCCACAUUGCAUGUAUUGCACAUCCCAAACAGGAAUGUGGCAAACACAUCCACCAUGAUCACACCACUGUGCACAGGGCUGGCCUGUGGUUUUAGGGUAGGUUGUUGUGGCGAUUCUUUAAAAUAUAUCCCAAUUUUAACUGACUAAUUGUAUGUAAGUAUGGGAGGGAUUAGGAUUGUAUGCUUGGAGUACAAACAUGUAGCCAGAAAUAAACCUGGCAAAUUUGGGUAUGUAUUUACACACGGAUGUUUAUAUACAUUUAUAUCUAUAUUAUAUACAAAAAAUGAAGUUAAAAGAACAAUUAGGUUGCAAAGUCAUGGAUCCAAACAUUACAAAAUGCCAGAGUUCAGGCAUACAUACAACCUUGUGGAUAUGAGACUGUGAAAGUCUUUAGUUACCUACCCUCCCUUCCCCUUCUUGACUUUGCUGCCUGGGUGCCAGCAGCAGGAGCACUGAGAAUGCAGGAGAUACAAUCUUCUGUCUCUCACUUUUCUGUUUAGCACCACAAUGAUGCCUGAUAGCCAGGAGGAGCAAUUGCAGGGAAAGGUCCUACUCAGCCCCUGCUGCCCUGGCAUGGGAGCAUGCCCAGUGAAAGUGAAAUACUGGAAGAAUGUAGCUUCAACUAGUCUCUACUGAGCAUGUGUGAACUGAGAUUUUCAGAGGCUCAUAAUUUGGCCAAAUUUGAGCAGAUGUUCACAGACAGAAAAAAAGAUACAUCCUUGACACCAGGGCAACCUCCUCCAAAUUUGAAGUCCCUGUUCCAAAGUGUGGAGGCACCAGAGCUUCUCAACAAAUGGCUAUAGGGGUUUUAGCAUGGGCAAAACAACUUAUUUCCCUCUAAUCUCUAUCUGAGAAAUUCCUGGACUAUGGUAGCUGAAAUUAUUCAAACAAAUAAAUUCAGCCUGAGGUGAGGGUUGCCAGCUUUCUAACUGCUGAAAACGAGACGCCCCUGCCCCACCUCCGUAUUCACCUGGCAUAACAGGAGUACCAAAAUGCAUGGAGUUUGUUCAACACAGUAAAUCAUCACCUGAAGGAGCAUAUUCUUCAUGGCAGCAUGACCAGCAAUUACAUUAUUAUGUACUAUACAACGGCAAGUGGGGCUUAAGACAUUUAUAAAACAUUAUUUAUAAAAAGAGUGAGGCUAUUUCCCACAGUACUACAAAUUCAAUUCUACAUAUUACUAGUAAUGUUCUCUAUGAGGAUAGCUGUUUUUAAAUUGAGUUAAAAAUCAGAUGGAUUAAUAA
Non-coding RNA from Chrysemys picta bellii (western painted turtle), 3562 nucleotides. Lineage: Eukaryota; Metazoa; Chordata; Testudines; Emydidae. The record is from RefSeq and is a predicted model, not a curated record.